GCAGGUGUUCCUCAAUGGCGGAGGUGACGACAUCGGCGGCAUCAGAGGGGCCAACCGGAGGCGAGGCCACCUCCCAUCUCUCGCGCGUGAAGUAGUCCACUUUUCGCCUCUGAUGCGGUAGCGAACCGAGGCGACAUAGGCAGUGCAACGAUCCGAUGCGAGCUGGGUGGCGACAAUGGCCUUCUCCGGUGUCGCUCUCCCUUGCCGGCUUUCUUCUCGCCGGUAAGAUCUCCCUCCUCUUCCUCCUCCUCCACAAAUUUCAUAAUUUCUAGGGUUAGGGUUCUUGGUUUUUGGGAGCGAGGCAGAAGAAGAGAAAGAAACAGAAGAGAGGAUCUUGGAUAAUGAAGAGGUGAUGUACUGAUGCAGGUUGAUGGUGGAGACUGGCGCUCGGAGGUGGGAUCAAUUCAAGGAGGAGGUGGAUGUCAUGGUGUACGAGGAGAAGAAGGUUGCGGAGAAGGAACAACAGUACAGUAUCUUCUUAGAUCCAGCCAAAGGCGAUGGCCCUAUUUCUACUCUGUUAUAGAUAAACUGUCCCUUUUUUUCUUCAUUGGAGCUCCACCGUUUUCAAUGAACUAGACUGUCACAUAGUAUUGAGAAAUACCAUCUUCAGCCAUUUACUUAGAAUGGAGUUAGGAUGUUGUUACUGUAUGACAAUGGUCAUCCCAUCAUUGUAAAUAUGCUCUGUUGCAGAAGGCACAUAAAGAACUCAUAAAGGGUAAAGUUCAAGAAAAUGUGAAAAAACAAGCCUCGCAGCAAAAAAUCAUGCCCCAAAAAGAAGCACAGAACAUUCAUGCCCAAGUAAUGUAAUCUUAAUGCACAAUGUCACCGGCUUGUUGAUAGGGAGUACAAUGUUUAGUUAGUUUUUGAGUUAUUUGAGCCACUGCCAUCUAGGGCAAUCAUAUUCUGAACAAAUCGAGAUUUAAACCUAUCAAUUAGCUAAUCUUGCUAAAGAACACAAAUGUGUCUUUUCUUAAAC
Molecule: long non-coding RNA, 976 nt
Filed under: Triticum aestivum (bread wheat)
Lineage: Eukaryota; Viridiplantae; Streptophyta; Magnoliopsida; Poales; Poaceae
Description: long non-coding RNA (TAES_LNC021088)
Source: RNAcentral